UUAAAUUGAAGAGUUUGAUCAUGGCUCAGAUUGAACGCUGGCGGCAGGCCUAACACAUGCAAGUCGAACGGUAACAGGAAGCAGCUUGCUGUUUCGCUGACGAGUGGCGGACGGGUGAG
RNAcentral lists this ribosomal RNA (119 nucleotides) under Escherichia coli. RNAcentral describes it as "partial 16S ribosomal RNA". It matches the Rfam family "Bacterial small subunit ribosomal RNA", at positions 1 to 110 of the family's 1533-position model. The record is from RNAcentral. Lineage: Bacteria; Pseudomonadati; Pseudomonadota; Gammaproteobacteria; Enterobacterales; Enterobacteriaceae.